Molecule: ribosomal RNA, 671 nt
Filed under: Micromonospora echinospora
Lineage: Bacteria; Bacillati; Actinomycetota; Actinomycetes; Micromonosporales; Micromonosporaceae
Description: bacterial SSU rRNA
Rfam family: Bacterial small subunit ribosomal RNA
Source: RNAcentral
GAGCGGAAGGCCCUUCGGGGUACUCGAGCGGCGAACGGGUGAGUAACACGUGAGCAACCUGCCCCAGGCUUUGGGAUAACCCCGGGAAACCGGGGCUAAUACCGAAUAUGACCUCCGAUCGCAUGGUUGGUGGUGGAAAGUUUUUCGGCUUGGGAUGGGCUCGCGGCCUAUCAGCUUGUUGGUGGGGUGAUGGCCUACCAAGGCGACGACGGGUAGCCGGCCUGAGAGGGCGACCGGCCACACUGGGACUGAGACACGGCCCAGACUCCUACGGGAGGCAGCAGUGGGGAAUAUUGCACAAUGGGCGGAAGCCUGAUGCAGCGACGCCGCGUGAGGGAUGACGGCCUUCGGGUUGUAAACCUCUUUCAGCAGGGACGAAGCGUAAGUGACGGUACCUGCAGAAGAAGCGCCGGCCAACUACGUGCCAGCAGCCGCGGUAAGACGUAGGGCGCGAGCGUUGUCCGGAUUUAUUGGGCGUAAAGAGCUCGUAGGCGGCUUGUCGCGUCGACUGUGAAAACCCGCAGCUCAACUGCGGGCCUGCAGUCGAUACGGGCAGGCUAGAGUUCGGUAGGGGAGACUGGAAUUCCUGGUGUAGCGGUGAAAUGCGCAGAUAUCAGGAGGAACACCGGUGGCGAAGGCGGGUCUCUGGGCCGAUACUGACGCUGAGGAGC